RNAcentral lists this ribosomal RNA (535 nucleotides) under uncultured archaeon. RNAcentral describes it as "bacterial SSU rRNA". It matches the Rfam family "Archaeal small subunit ribosomal RNA", at positions 345 to 879 of the family's 1478-position model. The record is from RNAcentral.
AACCUUUACACUGCACGCGAGUGCGAUAAGGGGACUCCAAGUGCGAGGGCAUAUAGUCCUCGCUUUUUGCGACCGUAAGGUGGUCGCGGAAUAAGUGCUGGGCAAGACCGGUGCCAGCCGCCGCGGUAAUACCGGCAGCACAAGUGAUGACCGCUAUUAUUGGGCCUAAAGCGUCCGUAGCUGGCCGUGCAAGUCUAUCGGGAAAUCCGCGCGCUUAACGCGCGGGCGUCCGGUGGAAACUGCAUGGCUUGGGACCGGAAGACCAGAGGGGUACGUCCGGGGUAGGAGUGAAAUCCCGUAAUCCUGGACGGACCACCGGUGGCGAAAGCGCCUCUGGAAGACGGAUCCGACGGUGAGGGACGAAAGCUCGGGUCACGAACCGGAUUAGAUACCCGGGUAGUCCGAGCUGUAAACGAUGUCUGCUAGGUGUGGCACAGGCUACGAGCCUGUGCUGUGCCGUAGGGAAGCCGUGAAGCAGACCGCCUGGGAAGUACGUCCGCAAGGAUGAAACUUAAAGGAAUUGGCGGGGGAGCAC